UACAGAGGUCCCAAGCGUUACUGAGAAUCACUGGGUUUAAAGGGUGCGUAGGUGGUCCGUUAAGUCAGUUGUGAAAUCCCCGGGCUCAACCCGGGAACUGCUUCUGAUACUGGCGGCCUCGAGGGGGGUAGGGGCAUGCGGAACUUCCGGUGGAGCGGUGAAAUGCGUAGAUAUCGGGAGGAACACCAGUGGCGAAGGCGACUUUCUGGCCUGUUCUUGACGCUGAGGCGCGAAAGCUAGGGGAGCAAACGGG
Molecule: ribosomal RNA, 253 nt
Filed under: uncultured bacterium
Lineage: Bacteria
Description: partial 16S ribosomal RNA
Rfam family: Bacterial small subunit ribosomal RNA
Source: RNAcentral